CAUUUUUAUUAAUAAAACACAUAUGCGACGUGCCACUCAGAGCAUUCCGUGGAGAGAAAACGAGUUUCCCCACCAGGUGAAUAAAAUUUCACCCAGAGGCAGGCAACAAACCACCUUCUGGUCUGGGAAUCGUGGGCGCUGCACUUGACAGCCCAGUCGCUGGGCCUCUGCCGCUAAGCCAGCCGCCUGCCCUGAGUCUCCGAAGUUGGAGGAGACCAUUUCAGCUGCUCCCGGCUUGCCUUGCUGUCCCCGCUGGAAUCAGCAGACCCUGACUUUUGGAGAAGCGUUACUGCGAUGUGUCAGCUGCUCCGGGAGAGCCCAGAGUGAUGUAUUCCAAGACCUGUCAGGAGAAAGGGUUUAUGGUUAUGGGGGUCUGAUCCCUGGUUGGGGAACUAAGAUCCCACAUGCCAUGGAACAACCAAGCCCCUGCGCUGCUGGCAACUACUGAUCCCGCCUGCUUUAGAGACUGUGCUCCACAACCAGGAAGCCCCCACACGCCACUGUGAAGACCCAGCACAGCCCACCCCCGCCC
Molecule: long non-coding RNA, 532 nt
Organism: Bos taurus (domestic cattle)
Lineage: Eukaryota; Metazoa; Chordata; Mammalia; Artiodactyla; Bovidae
Source: Ensembl